GAGAGAGAGGCACAAUGGUUGUGCGAUUGGCUUGAAACCAGUAAUAGGUGGUUCGAUUCCCCCCCCUCUUG
RNAcentral lists this transfer RNA (71 nucleotides) under Plestiodon liui. RNAcentral describes it as "tRNA-Ser". It matches the Rfam family "tRNA". From Rfam's summary of the family: Transfer RNA (tRNA) molecules are approximately 80 nucleotides in length. Their secondary structure includes four short double-helical elements and three loops (D, anti-codon, and T loops). The record is from RNAcentral. Lineage: Eukaryota; Metazoa; Chordata; Lepidosauria; Squamata; Scincidae.